RNAcentral lists this ribosomal RNA (253 nucleotides) under uncultured bacterium. RNAcentral describes it as "partial 16S ribosomal RNA". It matches the Rfam family "Bacterial small subunit ribosomal RNA", at positions 524 to 776 of the family's 1533-position model. The record is from RNAcentral.
UACAGAGGGGGCAAGCGUUAUUCGGAAUUAUUGGGCGUAAAGGGCGCGUAGGCGGCCUGGCAAGUGGAAGGUGAAAUCCCUCGGCUUAACCGAGGAACUGCCCUCCAAACUGCUUGGCUUGAGUCCGGGAGAGGUGAGUGGAAUUCCCAGUGUAGCGGUGAAAUGCGUAGAUAUUGGGAGGAACACCAGUGGCGAAGGCGGCCUGCUGGGCAGUAGCUGACACUGAGGCGCGACAGCGUGGGGAGCAAACAGG